Long non-coding RNA from Notolabrus celidotus (New Zealand spotty), 747 nucleotides. RefSeq lists it as uncharacterized. NCBI's taxonomy places the organism in Eukaryota, Metazoa, Chordata, Actinopteri, Labriformes, Labridae. The record is from RefSeq and is a predicted model, not a curated record. The transcript has 4 exons.
CCAGGAACUACCAGGAAGUACUCUGGUAAGGAAAGAGGAACAUAAUUAGACACAACAAAACCCAUGACAGGGUUAACAAAAGGAGAGCGACCCCCGGGCUUCACCUCUCCCUGCCAUGUGCCACCGCUGGAAGGAUGUUUUCACAGUCCUGCCCAGCGGCUCCCUCCUGUGAUUAAUGUGUGUAUGUCGACGGCUACUUUUGGCAGGGUCUCGUCUGACAUGUCUGGAAAGUUCAAUUGUAUUCAUGGUUGGUACCAUAUCCGGACAGGAUAAGCUGAUAUUGCCCGUUCACAGUUUGGGAGAGGCAUCUUUUUGAAACAGAGUCAGCCAUGCUCUGCAACUAAAGAGGCUGCUAUCUAAAGAGCAGCCCACACACCGAUUGCACUGCCACCAGGGGCAGUUCAGGGUUAAGCGUGUUGCCCAAGGACACUUUGCCAUGUGGACAGCAGGACCUGGGAUCAAACCUCCAACCUCAGGAGAAACGACCAACUUAACCACUGAGCCACAGCUGCCCCACGUGUCUUUGGUUUCAUGGAUAUUCAUGUGGAGAAAAGAGUCUUCACAACAUUUAAGAAAGUCAUCAAGGACAGGACCACAGUGGUCUUGUUAUCUUGCAGAAGACUGACAGUUACAGGAUUGUCUGAGUACUUUAGAAUAGUUCUGUCCUCUAUGCUGCCUCACAUAUUAGUGUAGAGGAUGAUUUUAUUUUUCCAUUAUGCACUCUGAUUCUCAAGAAUAAAGUCAACA